ACAGGUAGGGUGGCUGAGAGCUUAAGCGGUGGAUUGUAGCUCCAUAAACAGAGGUUUAAAUCCUCUCCUUAUCA
Molecule: transfer RNA, 74 nt
Filed under: Hucho hucho (huchen)
Lineage: Eukaryota; Metazoa; Chordata; Actinopteri; Salmoniformes; Salmonidae
Description: tRNA-Tyr
Rfam family: tRNA
About the family: Transfer RNA (tRNA) molecules are approximately 80 nucleotides in length. Their secondary structure includes four short double-helical elements and three loops (D, anti-codon, and T loops).
Source: RNAcentral